CGUAGUUCAGUUGGUUAGAGCGUCAGAUUGUGGUUCUGAAUGUCGUGGGUUCGAGUCCCAC
RNAcentral lists this transfer RNA (61 nucleotides) under uncultured Prevotella sp. It matches the Rfam family "tRNA", at positions 8 to 63 of the family's 71-position model. Rfam says of the family: Transfer RNA (tRNA) molecules are approximately 80 nucleotides in length. Lineage: Bacteria; Pseudomonadati; Bacteroidota; Bacteroidia; Bacteroidales; Prevotellaceae. RNAcentral also lists the same sequence under 1 other name. The record is from RNAcentral.